Salvia miltiorrhiza (redroot sage) is the source of this 1389-nucleotide long non-coding RNA. RefSeq lists it as uncharacterized. Lineage: Eukaryota; Viridiplantae; Streptophyta; Magnoliopsida; Lamiales; Lamiaceae. The record is from RefSeq and is a predicted model, not a curated record. The transcript is spliced from 2 exons.
UAAUAGUUUAGUUUAAGUGGAUUUGGGAGUUCUUGGAAUAAGCUAGUUACAUGUUUGAUGCUUGUGUAAUUGUACUCCUUGAAUUGUAAAAUGAGAUUAUAUGAUAAUAAUUGGAGGAUAUCAAGCAUGCUACUAUAUGUUGAUGUGUUGAACACGAAUUAAGUUUAAGCUAAAGCAUGCUAAUGUGUAGUAUGAUGAUGUAAUUGAGUUCCUAUGGUUUGUAUUUGACAAACGUAUGAAUUAUAUGUUAAGUUGAAACAAAGGAGCUUUGCUGUCAGUUUUCGGCUUGACAGGGCAGUAUGUUUCGAGGUGCUUUUGAUGAUGUUUUCGUAAUCCAAAUAACUUGAAGUUUUUACUGUUAUAACUUCAUCAUGUGUAGUCGUUCUCUGUAAAAUUUCAGCUAAAUCCGAGACCAAUAGACAUGUCAAACUAUUUUCUGAAAUGUACUGCACGGAGCAGCAGAGUUCAGUGGCAGAUUCUGUCUUUGGUCAUAUAACUUCUUAUACACUUGAAAUAUUGUGUUUUUGUAAAUUUCUUAGAAAUAUAGACGUUAAUAGCUUUCUAAAGAAGUGAGGUUUAUAUUUUUCUUUGAAGUGGUUGAUUUUAUAUAAUUUUUCAAAGUUAGGAUUCAAAUGGGUAUGUUUCUUAAACUUGUGAUUGGUAGUUAAUUGAAAUCCUAAACUACUAAACUCAAAUUAAGGUUUUAUUGUUCUAAUUACCUAUUGAGGAUUAUUGAUUACUAAGCUUGUUAAUAUGAUAGUUGAUGGACAUAAUUAUGUUUAUAUGAUUAAUUACUUUGGGAUUUUGUGUUUUACAUGUAUGGUUAGUUGUAAACUGAUCUUUAUGGAAUGGAUUUGUUUACUUUAAACUUUCUCAAGUAGAGGAAUUCCUAUAAGAUAGGAAUAUUAGUUUAUACUUUCUUAAAGUUCAUAAGAGUUAGUAUAUUGGUUAGUUUAGUUGAUUCAACCCUAGCUCUGCAGAAGAUUAAAAGUUUAUUGGGAUGUUAUUUAUAGCUAAUUCUUCUUAUCUAGUUAUCCAAUCUUAUUUUAGAAUCUUGCUAUUAUGAAGGUGACAGUAGCAAUGAUAGAUAAGUGAGCAAGAGUUCCUACACCGUUAAGCGUAUCAGGUUAAGCUGUGAUGCGGAUGGAAGCGAGCAGAGCAAAGUCUUGAUGUUAGUGUGUUAAAUUAGGCUCAGGAUUUCAUGUCCUCAUACAUGUAAUCCACUUGAGUUAUUUCCGCUGCAACACUUAAUGUACUUUACUUUAUUGAUGUGUUGUACAGAUUUUAAACCAAUAGCUUUGAGAAUUAUGUCACUUAGACAACUUGUCGUUGUGAUAUUGUAAGUUGUCUACUCGUGAGUUUUAAAAGUGAUUAUUUAUAAUUACCAAA